AGCUCUGUUGUUAGGGAAGAACAAGUGCGAGAGUAACUGCUCGCACCUUGACGGUACCUAACCAGAAAGCCACGGCUAACUACGUGCCAGCAGCCGCGGUAAUACGUAGGUGGCAAGCGUUAUCCGGAAUUAUUGGGCGUAAAGCGCGCGCAGGUGGUUUCUUAAGUCUGAUGUGAAAGCCCACGGCUCAACCGUGGAGGGUCAUUGGAAACUGGGGAACUUGAGUGCAGAAGAGGAAAGUGGAAUUCCANNUGUAGCGGUGAAAUGCGUAGAGAUUUGGAGGAACACCAGUGGCGAAGGCGACUUUCUGGUCUGUAACUGACACUGAGGCGCGAAAGCGUGGGGAGCAAACAGGAUUAGAUACCCUGGUAGUCCACGCCGUAAACGAUGAGUGCUAAGUGUUAGAGGGUUUCCGCCCUUUAGUGCUGCAGCUAACGCAUUAAGCACUCCGCCUGGGGAGUACGGUCGCAAGACUGAAACUCAAAGGAAUUGACGGGGGCCCGCACAAGCNGGUGGAGCAUGUGGUUUAAUUCGAAGCAACGCGAAGAACCUUACCAGGUCUUGACAUCCUCUGACAACCCUAGAGAUAGGGCGUUCCCCUUCGGGGGACAGAGUGACAGGUGGUGCAUGNNUUGUCGUCAGCUCGUGUCGUGAGAUGUUUGGGUUAAGUCCCGCAACGAGCGCAACCCUUUGAUCUUAGUUGCCAGCAUUCAGUUGGGCACUCUA
RNAcentral lists this ribosomal RNA (726 nucleotides) under uncultured Bacillus sp. RNAcentral's name for it is "bacterial SSU rRNA". It matches the Rfam family "Bacterial small subunit ribosomal RNA", at positions 429 to 1142 of the family's 1533-position model. The record is from RNAcentral. Lineage: Bacteria; Bacillati; Bacillota; Bacilli; Caryophanales; Bacillaceae.